UCAUAUGCUUGUCUAAAAGAUUAAGCCAUGCAAGUGCGAGUGAUUCGGUGCAUCCAUCAGUAAAAUGAGGGAAGGCGCUCAGGAUGACUGCGAAAGGCUCAUUAAAACAGUUAUUGGAUCUGGAUGGUCAGAAGAAGACAAGAAGGAUAAGGGUGUGAAAAUAGAGCUAAAACGAGGGAGGGGGAUCUCGACGCAACAAUAUCAUUUGUGUGGUAUUGGAAUGAAGAAGGGAUUUCUAGAAUUUCAUAGAGAUAUGAGAGGGAGCAUGUGAAUAUUUGACCUAUCAACUGGGGAUGGUAGUAUAGGGGACUACGAUGGUGGUGACGGGUGACGGAGGAUCAGGGUUUGGUACCGGAGAGGGGGCCUGAGAGAUGGCCACCACUUCUAAGGAAGGCAGCAGGCGCGAAAAUUACCCAAUGUUGGAACAGUGAGGUAGUGACAAGGAAUAACUGCCAAAUAGCCAAUAGGUUGUUUGAUGGUAAUGGAAGGAGGAUAGAGAGGUUCUUGAGUAACGAUCAGAGGGAAAGUCUGGUGCCAGCAGCCGCGGUAAUUCCAGCUCUGAAAGCGUAUACUAGAGUUGUUGCGGUUAAAAAGCUCGUAGUUGGGAGAAGGAGACAUUGAGAAAAAUAGAGUGUUUAAGGGUGAAGUGGGAGAGCACAGGACGUCCUGAGGAGAGAAUCGAUGAGAGUAGACACUUUCCAGGGAGAGAAUAGAAACAAUAGAGGAUAUUAGUAUUUUAUAGUUAGAGGUGAAAUUCUAUGAUUUAUGAAAGACUAACAGGGGCGAAAGCAUUUAUCUCUUGUAUGUUUAUUGAUAAAGAACGAAAGUUAGGGGAUCGAAGAUGAUUAGAUACCGUCGUAGUCCUAGACUAUAAACAAUACUAACUAUGGAUUUGGGGGGCCAUGGAAGAAAACACUUCUUUCACGGGGCGCGUGAGGACAUUGCGAGAAAUCAUUGAGUAUUUGAGUUCCGGGGGGAGUAUGGUUGCAAGACUGAAACUUAAAGGAAUUGACGGAGGGGCACCACAAGGCGUGGAGCUUGCGGCUUAAUUUGACUCAACACGGAGAAACUUACCAGACCAAGACAUCAUUGAGGAUUGACAGACGAGGAGGUUUUUCGAGAUAGGAUGGGAGGUGGUGCAUGGCCGUUCUUAGUUGGUGGAGUGAUUUGUCAGGUUAAUUCCGAUAACGAACGAGAUUUUAGUGGAAGAGACGUCGUUGAGAGGGAAAUCUCUUUGUGAUGGUUAUUUCAGAUGGAUAGGAAAAUAAACUAUAGGAAGAUUAAAGUGAUAACAGGUCUGUGAUGCCCUUAGAUGGUUUGGGCUGCACGCGUGCUACAAUGAUAGAGACAGAGAUCCACUCUCGCUUUUUAUUGAGAGAGAGAUUGACGCAUCGAAGGAUGGGUUGAAAGGAUGGAGAAUCUAUCAUGUUAGGGGAUUAACGAUUGGAAUUAUUCGUUAUGAACACGGAAUGCCUAGUAAGUAUAAGUCAACAGGUUAUAUUGAUUAGGUCCCUGCCUCUUGUACACACCGCCCGUCGCUGCUACCGAUUGAAUAGUAAAUGUGAAAUGGGAGGACUGGCCACUACUCUUUUGUAAUGGAAAGGAAAACUAUUGAAUGUUUAUAUUUAGAGGAAGCAAAAGUCGUAACAAGGUUUCC
Molecule: ribosomal RNA, 1657 nt
Filed under: Ripella platypodia
Lineage: Eukaryota; Discosea; Flabellinia; Vannellidae
Description: bacterial SSU rRNA
Rfam family: Eukaryotic small subunit ribosomal RNA
Source: RNAcentral